This 827-nucleotide non-coding RNA is filed under the name Holoaden luederwaldti (Luderwaldt's highland frog). RNAcentral's name for it is "partial 12S ribosomal RNA". It matches the Rfam family "Bacterial small subunit ribosomal RNA", at positions 306 to 1487 of the family's 1533-position model. The record is from RNAcentral. Lineage: Eukaryota; Metazoa; Chordata; Amphibia; Anura; Craugastoridae.
AUCCCCGUGAAAAUGCCCUUAUCCCCUACUUGGAGGUAAGGAGCUGGUAUCAGGCACAACAUCCGCCCACAACACCUAGCUACGCCACACCCACAAGGGCACUCAGCAGUGAUUAACAUUGAGCAUAAACGUCAGUUCGACUCAGUUAAAGCAAUCAGGGCCGGCAAAUCCGGUGCCAGCCGCCGCGGAUACACCGUAAGGCCCAAAUUGAUCCACAUCGGCGUAAAGCGUGAUUUAAGAUACACCUAAUUAAGGCUAAAUUAAAGCUAGGCCGUAAAAAGUUCGCUAUAUGAAGAUCAAAACGAAAGCUGCCUUAACUACCCCCACUUGAACCCACGACAACUAGGGCACAAACUGGGAUUAGAUACCCCACUAUGCCUAAUCGUAAACUUUAACUUACACCCUUCCCCGCCAGAGAACUACAAGCAAAGCUUCAAACUCAAGGGACUUGACGGCACUCCACACCCUCCUAGAGGAGCCUGUCCUAUAAUCGAUACUCCCCGAUCAACCUCUCCACUUUUAGCCUUUCAGCCUGUAUACUUCCGUCGUCAGCUUACCCCGUGAGGGCUUCCAGUAAGCUCAAUGUCCAUCACAAAACGCCAGGUCAAAGUGCAGCUCAUAGAGUGGAAAGAGAUGGGCUACACUUUCUAAAAUAGAAGAAACGAAAAACACUUUGAAAUUGUGUUUGAAGGUGGAUUUAGCAGUAAAAAGAAAACACGAAUGUUCUCUUUAAGCCGGCAAUGGAAUGUGUACACACCGCCCGUCACCCUCUUCAAAGCACACCCCAUUAGUUCAUAACAACCUUUGCUAUACAGAAGAGGCAAGUC